This 263-nucleotide ribosomal RNA is filed under the name uncultured bacterium. Its description in RNAcentral is "partial 16S ribosomal RNA". It matches the Rfam family "Bacterial small subunit ribosomal RNA", at positions 91 to 354 of the family's 1533-position model. The record is from RNAcentral.
CCCAGUGGCGGACGGGUGAGUAACGCGUGGGUAACCUGCCCUGUACAGGGGGACAACAGCCGGAAACGGCUGCUAAUACCGCAUAAGCCCGCGGCGCCGCAUGGCGCUGCGGGGAAAACUCCGGUGGUACAGGAUGGGCCCGCGUCUGAUUAGCUAGUUGGCGGGGUAACGGCCCACCAAGGCAGCGAUCAGUAGCCGGCUUGAGAGAGUGGACGGCCACAUUGGGACUGAGACACGGCCCAGACUCCUACGGGAGGCAGCAG